Molecule: ribosomal RNA, 253 nt
Filed under: uncultured bacterium
Lineage: Bacteria
Description: partial 16S ribosomal RNA
Rfam family: Bacterial small subunit ribosomal RNA
Source: RNAcentral
UACGUAGGGGGCUAGCGUUGUCCGGAAUCAUUGGGCGUAAAGCGCGUGUAGGCGGUCCGGUAAGUCCGCUGUGAAAGUCGGGGGCUCAACCCUCGAAUGCCGGUGGAUACUGUCAGACUAGAGUACGGAAGAGGCGAGUGGAAUUCCUGGUGUAGCGGUGAAAUGCGCAGAUAUCAGGAAGAACACCCGUGGCGAAGGCGGCUCUCUGGGACGGUACUGACGCUGAGACGCGAAAGCGUGGGGAGCGAACAGG